UAUUAUUUUAAGUGUUAAUUUUACUUACCAGGGUACUGUUAGCUAAGGUCUUUAAACCCAAAGAAUUUGGCGGUAUCUCAUUCCAUUCAGAGGAACCUACCCCGUAAUUGAUAGUACACGAUUAACUUUACUUAAUUUAUUUGUUUGUAUAUCUCCGUUAUCAGAAAAUCUUUUUAGAGUUAUAAUUUUCUUGAUUUAUAAUUAUAAAAUAUUUCAGGUCAAGGUGCAGCUUAUAAUUAAGAGGAGGUGGGUUACAAUAGAUUUAUGUUUAUUACGAAUUUGAUGGUGAAAGACUGUUAAUAAAGGUGGAUUUGAUAGUAAUUUAAUUUAUUUAAUUUAAUUGAUUUUGGCUCUGAGGUGUGUACACAUCGCCCGUCACUCUCAUUAUUGAUCAUUAUACUUAAGAUUUUUUGGUAAGGUAUGUUCAAAUUAGAUGAG
RNAcentral lists this ribosomal RNA (438 nucleotides) under Calliptamus turanicus. RNAcentral's name for it is "partial small subunit ribosomal RNA". The record is from RNAcentral. Lineage: Eukaryota; Metazoa; Arthropoda; Insecta; Orthoptera; Acrididae.